CCUACGGGAGGCAGCAGUGGGGAAUAUUGGACAAUGGGCGCAAGCCUGAUCCAGCCAUGCCGCGUGUGUGAUGAAGGCCUUAGGGUUGUAAAGCGCUUUCACCGGUGAAGAUAAUGACGGUAUCCGGAGAAGAAGCCCCGGCUAACUUCGUGCCAGCAGCCGCGGUAAU
Molecule: ribosomal RNA, 169 nt
Filed under: uncultured Agrobacterium sp.
Lineage: Bacteria; Pseudomonadati; Pseudomonadota; Alphaproteobacteria; Hyphomicrobiales; Rhizobiaceae
Also listed under: 1 other name
Description: partial 16S ribosomal RNA
Rfam family: Bacterial small subunit ribosomal RNA
Source: RNAcentral